Molecule: long non-coding RNA, 359 nt
Organism: Dendroctonus ponderosae (mountain pine beetle)
Lineage: Eukaryota; Metazoa; Arthropoda; Insecta; Coleoptera; Curculionidae
Exons: 2
Source: RefSeq, a predicted model, not a curated record
GUUUGACAAAAACUGAUGGUCUCCAGACAAACCACCGGCCCUUUGUCGUAGUUUAUUUGGCAACUGGGGUUAAAGUUGAGACAGACAGAAUACGAUUUCGUUACCCCUGGGGGGAAAAGGCCUCGGACCCGACCUGCCUUAACGGUUAAUGUUGGGUGCAUUUUUCACGAAAAGAAAUUUCCCCCCAGUGGAGUUCGGGCUGAUAUGUUUACUUCGGGAGAGGCGAAGAAGCGAGACGAGCAUCACGACGUCGCCCCCACGAUUUCCGGGAUCUUACCUGAUGGGGAUUUCAUGAUUGAGCCGGUGGAUGUCUUUUAAUGUAUAAUGUGCCUCAAAUAUACUUUAGGCCAAUGUAUUUA